RNAcentral lists this ribosomal RNA (429 nucleotides) under uncultured bacterium. Its description in RNAcentral is "bacterial SSU rRNA". It matches the Rfam family "Bacterial small subunit ribosomal RNA", at positions 355 to 776 of the family's 1533-position model. The record is from RNAcentral.
UGGGGAAUCUUCCGCAAUGGACGAAAGUCUGACGGAGCAACGCCGCGUGAACGAUGACGGCCUUCGGGUUGUAAAGUUCUGUUAUACGGGACGAAUGGUACGACGGCCAAUACCCGUCGUAAGUGACGGUACCGUAAGAGAAAGCCACGGCUAACUACGUGCCAGCAGCCGCGGUAAUACGUAGGUGGCAAGCGUUGUCCGGAAUUAUUGGGAGGAAAGGGCGCGCAGGCGGCGUCCUCAGUCGGUCUUAAAAGUGCGGGGCUUAACCCCGUGAGGGGACCGAAACUGCGAUGCUAGAGUAUCGGAGAGGAAAGCGGAAUUCCUAGUGUAGCGGUGAAAUGCGUAGAUAUUAGGAGGAACACCAGUGGCGAAAGCGGCUUUCUGGACGACAACUGACGCUGAGGCGCGAAAGCCAGGGGAGCAAACGGG